This 105-nucleotide transfer RNA is filed under the name Candidatus Woesearchaeota archaeon. RNAcentral's name for it is "tRNA-Gln". It matches the Rfam family "tRNA". Rfam says of the family: Transfer RNA (tRNA) molecules are approximately 80 nucleotides in length. The record is from RNAcentral. Lineage: Archaea; Nanobdellati; Candidatus Woesearchaeota.
AGCCCCGUGGUCCAGUGGUCAAAUUUUGACUCGUGAAAAUGAGCAAGAGACUUGAGACGAUGCCCUUUGGAGGCAUAAACGGCAGUUCGAAUCUGCCCGGGGCUA